This 246-nucleotide unclassified non-coding RNA is filed under the name Helotiales sp. Its description in RNAcentral is "partial contains 5.8S ribosomal RNA, internal transcribed spacer 2, and large subunit ribosomal RNA". The record is from RNAcentral. Lineage: Eukaryota; Fungi; Ascomycota; Leotiomycetes; Helotiales.
CGCACAUUGCGCCCCCUGGUAUUCCGGGGGGCAUGCCUGUUCGAGCGUCAUUUAGUGGAAAAUCAAGCACCUGCUUGGCCUUGGGAGCCCGCCCCGUCAGGGGCGCCCCCUAAACCGGUUGGCGGUGGCCCCGGGCCUCUAGCGUAGUGAAACAUCCCGCUACGAGGCCCUGCGGUCGCCCGCUUCCAGAGACCAAACUCUUAUACCAUUGACCUCGGAUCAGGUAGGGAUACCCGCUGAACUUAA